GUCUACAACCAUACUACAUUGAACACAUCCAAUCUUAUCUGAUCUUAGAGGCUAAGCAAGGUCAGGCAUGGUUAGUACUUAAAUGGGACAAGGAAAUUUCUUCCCACCAUCAUGCAAAAGUCCCAUGCUUACU
Molecule: ribosomal RNA, 133 nt
Filed under: Erinaceus europaeus (western European hedgehog)
Lineage: Eukaryota; Metazoa; Chordata; Mammalia; Eulipotyphla; Erinaceidae
Source: RNAcentral